UACCAGAUUGCAUUUUUCUGUCAUUUCAGGGCACCAAGGAAGAGAACCAAUGGCAGAAGUCACACAUGCAAGCAAGAUGGGAGUCUGGAGAGCCUCAGGCUAAAUCACCAGUGCUCAGCCCUCUUCUCUUUCAAAGAUCAAAUUCUGGGAGUUUACAUUUCUGAAACUUGGGUCAAGGUCCUGACCAAUCCUCAAAAGAGCAACUGUGUGGACAUCUGUGGCAAUGUCAGAUUCACUGAAUCCCAAGACAAGGAGCUCUUUGAUAAUGGGCUAGAGGAAAGUGUGAAAGAAUGGUUUAGAACUAAUUCAAGAAAGAACAAUCUGAUUCCCACUUGGAGGAGGACGCAGGAGCUGAAUCAGAUGGGGCUGUGGUGCCUGGGGAGGAGGAAAUUGUGAGUACUUGCUCUUGAUUGAGUAUCAUUAUCCUCCUGUUGUCUAGGAAGAUGAUUGUUAUAAUUAGCCACAAAUGUCAUGGGCAACUAUAAUUUACCUUUUCCUGUAACAACUGAUAGUUUACCUUUUCAAUGCCUCCUUUUAUCUUCCCACCAUGGGGCUUUCCCCAUCCCUCCAUAACAA
Molecule: long non-coding RNA, 576 nt
Organism: Macaca mulatta (Rhesus monkey)
Lineage: Eukaryota; Metazoa; Chordata; Mammalia; Primates; Cercopithecidae
Source: Ensembl